AGGGAAUCUUCCACAAUGGACGCAAGUCUGAUGGAGCAACGCCGCGUGAGUGAAGAAGGUUUUCGGACCGUAAAGCUCUGUUGUUGGUGAAGAAGGAUAGAGGUAGUAACUGGCCUUUAUUUGACGGUAAUCAACCAGAAAGUCACGGCUAACUACGUGCCAGCAGCCGCGGUAAUACGUAGGUGGCAAGCGUUGUCCGGAUUUAUUGGGCGUAAAGCGAGCGCAGGCGGAAGAAUAAGUCUGAUGUGAAAGCCCUCGGCUUAACCGAGGAAUUGCAUCGGAAACUGUUUUCUUGAGUGCAGAAGAGGAGAGUAGAACUCCAUGUGUAGCGGUGGAAUGCGUAGAUAUAUGGAAGAAUACCAGUGGCGAAGGCGGCUCUCUGGUCUGCAACUGACGCUGAGGCUCGAAAGCAUGGGUAGC
This 420-nucleotide ribosomal RNA is filed under the name uncultured bacterium. Its description in RNAcentral is "partial 16S ribosomal RNA". It matches the Rfam family "Bacterial small subunit ribosomal RNA", at positions 356 to 769 of the family's 1533-position model. The record is from RNAcentral.